AUUGAACGCUGGCGGCAGGCUUAACACAUGCAAGUCGAGCGGGGUGAUGGUGCUUGCACUAUCACUUAGCGGCGGACGGGUGAGUAAUGCUUAGGAAUCUGCCUAUUAGUGGGGGACAACAUCUCGAAAGGGAUGCUAAUACCGCAUACGUCCUACGGGAGAAAGCAGGGGAUCACUUGUGACCUUGCGCUAAUAGAUGAGCCUAAGUCGGAUUAGCUAGUUGGUGGGGUAAAGGCCUACCAAGGCGACGAUCUGUAGCGGGUCUGAGAGGAUGAUCCGCCACACUGGGACUGAGACACGGCCCAGACUCCUACGGGAGGCAGCGGUGGGGAAUAUUGGACAAUGGGGGGAACCCUGAUCCAGCCAUGCCGCGUGUGUGGAGAAGGCCUUAUGGUUGUAAAGCACUUUAAGCGAGGAGGAGGCUCUUUUGGUUAAUACCCAAGAUGAGUGGACGUUACUCGCAGAAUAAGCACCGGCUAACUCUGUGCCAGCAGCCGCCGCGG
Molecule: ribosomal RNA, 503 nt
Filed under: uncultured bacterium
Lineage: Bacteria
Description: partial 16S ribosomal RNA
Rfam family: Bacterial small subunit ribosomal RNA
Source: RNAcentral